Molecule: ribosomal RNA, 405 nt
Filed under: uncultured bacterium
Lineage: Bacteria
Description: partial 16S ribosomal RNA
Rfam family: Bacterial small subunit ribosomal RNA
Source: RNAcentral
AAUGAACGCUAGCGGGAUGCUUUACAUAUGCAAGUCGAACGAGUGGCGGACGUGUGAGUAAUAUAUCUGAACGUGCCCAGUAGCGGGGGAUACCUACUCGAACCAGUGCUUAAUACCGCAUACUAUUCGCGCUGCCGAUAUCGGAUUAGCCAGUUGGUGGGGUAAAGGCUCACCAAGGCAACGAUCCGUAGCUGGUUUGAGAGGACGACCAGCCACACUGGGACGGAGACACGGCCCAGACUCCUACGGGAGGCAGCAGUGGGGAAUUUUGGGCAAUGGGGGAAACCCUGAUCCAGCCAUCCCGCGUGUAUGAGAAGGCCUUCGGAUUGUAAAGUACUUUUGGCAGAGAAGCGGUAUCUACAGAAUAAGCACCGGCUAACUACGUGCCAGCAGCCGCGGUAAUUC